AAAAAUAAAGGAGACCAAAUAUUUUUUGGAUUUUGAUGAGAGUUGAAUUACUAAACUAUUGUAAUGAAAAUAAAAAUAAUUAGCAUUAGGCAAUUAAAUUAAAGCAAAUUAAAAUUAGAUUUAAAAGCAAUUAAAAGGGCAUUGGUCUCAAUUGAUCCAACCAUUCAAUUCAUCCAAGGUUUUCAAUGAGAUUUAUAACUUAAAUUCAACACAACAAUUAAGAGUGCUUGAUUCAGAGGAUUUAACUUUGAAAACUAAUCAUUCUCAAGUAUUUGAAAUUAAAUAUAUGGUCAAUGGGGGAAUCAAAGGUUAAUAUCAUCGAUUUAACUAGGGUUAAUACCAAAUUGAGAGUUUGUGCAUUGAAUUAGCCAAACAUAGUCAAUAAUCUAGUUGUUCUAAGACAUCUUGCAAUCAAUUGAUGUGAAU
RNAcentral lists this long non-coding RNA (426 nucleotides) under Actinidia chinensis (golden kiwifruit). Its description in RNAcentral is "long non-coding RNA (ACHI_LNC000262)". The record is from RNAcentral. Lineage: Eukaryota; Viridiplantae; Streptophyta; Magnoliopsida; Ericales; Actinidiaceae.